Molecule: small nuclear RNA, 107 nt
Organism: Piliocolobus tephrosceles (Ugandan red Colobus)
Lineage: Eukaryota; Metazoa; Chordata; Mammalia; Primates; Cercopithecidae
Source: Ensembl
GUGCUCGCUUUGAUAGCACAUAUACUAAAAUUGGUACAAUACAGAGAAGAUUAGCAUGGCUCCUGCACAAGGAUGUCACACAAAUUCAUGAAGUGUUCCAUAUUUUU